RNAcentral lists this ribosomal RNA (460 nucleotides) under uncultured bacterium. RNAcentral's name for it is "partial 16S ribosomal RNA". It matches the Rfam family "Bacterial small subunit ribosomal RNA", at positions 338 to 795 of the family's 1533-position model. The record is from RNAcentral.
CCUACGGGUGGCAGCAGUGAGGAAUAUUGGUCAAUGGACGAGAGUCUGAACCAGCCAAGUAGCGUGAAGGAUGACUGCCCUAUGGGUUGUAAACUUCUUUUAUAUGGGAAUAAAAUGUUCCACGUGUGGGAUUUUGUAUGUACCAUAUGAAUAAGGAUCGGCUAACUCCGUGCCAGCAGCCGCGGUAAUACGGAGGAUCCGAGCGUUAUCCGGAUUUAUUGGGUUUAAAGGGAGCGUAGGUGGAUUGUUAAGUCAGUUGUGAAAGUUUGCGGCGCAACCGUAAAAUUGCAGUUGAAACUGGCAGUCUUGAGUACAGUAGAGGUGGGCGGAAUGCGUGGUGUAGCGGUGAAAUGCUUAGAUAUCACGCAGAACUCCGAUUGCGAAGGCAGUUCACUGGACUGCAACUGACACUGAGGCUCGAAAGUGUGGGUAUCAAACAGGAUUAGAUACCCUUGUAGUC